Molecule: ribosomal RNA, 474 nt
Filed under: Escherichia coli
Lineage: Bacteria; Pseudomonadati; Pseudomonadota; Gammaproteobacteria; Enterobacterales; Enterobacteriaceae
Description: partial 23S ribosomal RNA
Rfam family: Bacterial large subunit ribosomal RNA
Source: RNAcentral
CAUAAGUAACGAUAAAGCGGGUGAAAAGCCCGCUCGCCGGAAGACCAAGGGUUCCUGUCCAACGUUAAUCGGGGCAGGGUGAGUCGACCCCUAAGGCGAGGCCGAAAGGCGUAGUCGAUGGGAAACAGGUUAAUAUUCCUGUACUUGGUGUUACUGCGAAGGGGGGACGGAGAAGGCUAUGUUGGCCGGGCGACGGUUGUCCCGGUUUAAGCGUGUAGGCUGGUUUUCCAGGCAAAUCCGGAAAAUCAAGGCUGAGGCGUGAUGACGAGGCACUACGGUGCUGAAGCAACAAAUGCCCUGCUUCCAGGAAAAGCCUCUAAGCAUCAGGUAACAUCAAAUCGUACCCCAAACCGACACAGGUGGUCAGGUAGAGAAUACCAAGGCGCUUGAGAGAACUCGGGUGAAGGAACUAGGCAAAAUGGUGCCGUAACUUCGGGAGAAGGCACGCUGAUAUGUAGGUGAAGUCCCUCGCGG